UUCAACAGACACGCGGUGCGUGGGGCUGAUAGUUUCAGCUUUACGCGCCGUAAUUGCGUGGGCAAUCGA
This 69-nucleotide small RNA is filed under the name Rhizobium phaseoli Brasil 5. RNAcentral describes it as "miscellaneous other RNA". Lineage: Bacteria; Pseudomonadati; Pseudomonadota; Alphaproteobacteria; Hyphomicrobiales; Rhizobiaceae. The record is from RNAcentral.